GUUGAACGCUGGCGGCAUGCUUUACACAUGCAAGUCGAACGGCAGCGCGGGCUUCGGCCUGGCGGCGAGUGGCGAACGGGUGAGUAAUGCAUCGGAACGUGCCCAGUAGUGGGGGAUAGCCCGGCGAAAGCCGGAUUAAUACCGCAUACGACCUGAGGGUGAAAGCGGGGGACCGAAAGGCCUCGCGCUCUUGGAGCGGCCGAUGUCGGAUUAGCUAGUUGGUGGGGUAAAGGCUUACCAAGGCGACGAUCCGUAGCUGGUCUGAGAGGACGACCAGCCACACUGGGACUGAGACACGGCCCAGACUCCUACGGGAGGCAGCAGUGGGGAAUUUUGGACAAUGGGGGCAACCCUGAUCCAGCCAUGCCGCGUGCGGGAAGAAGGCCUUCGGGUUGUAAACCGCUUUUGUUCGGGAAGAAAUCCUCUGGGCUAAUACCCCGGGGGGAUGACGGUACCGGAAGAAUAAGCACCGGCUAACUACGUG
Molecule: ribosomal RNA, 484 nt
Filed under: uncultured bacterium
Lineage: Bacteria
Description: partial 16S ribosomal RNA
Rfam family: Bacterial small subunit ribosomal RNA
Source: RNAcentral